This 4124-nucleotide long non-coding RNA is filed under the name Panax ginseng (ginseng). RNAcentral describes it as "long non-coding RNA (PGIN_LNC007315)". Lineage: Eukaryota; Viridiplantae; Streptophyta; Magnoliopsida; Apiales; Araliaceae. The record is from RNAcentral.
AAUUUCAUUUCACCAGUAUAAAAGCACAAAAACCCUAAUUUGAUCUGUAUAAAAGCACACCAUUAGAUCUCACUGCCUCGUUCCUCACGGCCGCUGGCAUUCAUUCACUCAGAUCUCCUCAGAUGCUAAUCUCUUUGAUUAUCAGGUAAAUUUCUAAAUUCUACUUAUGUUCAUAAAUCAAACAUACGUCUUUGUUUUUCUGUUCCUUUUCUGAGGUUAAUUAAAUUAACUUCAUAUCCACAUUCGAUAGUCUUGUAUAAUUAUUCGAUCUCCAUUUUUAGAGAUGGCUGAAUUAGUGCAAGAAUUUUUGUACAUCUAAACAAAUGAUAUUCUAUUGCAUUAAUCCCUUCUCCUUUAUGUUAAUCACUCCACAUUUUUAAAAAAUUCUAUUGGAUUCUCUUGCAUUCGAUUUUUUAAGUAAAAUUAAUUUAUACCAAGAUAUUCUUUGUCGUGUUGAUUUUGUUUCUUGUUUUCUAAUUAAAAUUAAUUAUUAUCAAGAUGGUUUAGAGGAUAUAGAACAUGAACCAAGUGCUAGCCAAGAAAAUAGAAAUGAUAAUUUGGGUUGUUAUACUAGACUACAACACCUUCUGACGGAGCAAAUUUAUAAAACUGAGUGCACUAUAUUACCCUUUCUUCUAUCUGAAAGUAUUUCCAUUACAUAGUAAUUGAGAUUAUGUAUUUCUCCAAAGAGCAUUUAACUAAUCCAUUAGGCACAUGAACAUCAAUAGAUGAGCAUUAAGUAAUGACUAUAUCUUAAAUACGUGAAGAUCUUGCUCCAAUAGAUGUAGCUAUACUGCAUAUAUUUUGAAAUGUAUGUGUGAAGAAAAUAAAUGAUUUGAUAUCUUUCUUGUGUGUACUCUAUUUUUAUUUGACAUGCAGUUGACAUGUUAAAAUCUUUAUACGAAAUGAUGAUAUCCAAGAAGUUGAAAAUGAGGUCGUUGUUUAUGACAUUUCAAAUUCGCACAUUGGUUUCAGGUAAUAAGCUAAUGCAUUAUGUUUUCUAAGAACUCUUGAAAUGAUAUUUUAUUUGUACGAUUGUGCUAUGAUUUAAUUUAAACACAAGAUUUGACCUUUAUUGUUACAUAUUCGAUUGUGAAAUGUCGUAAAUGACAAAAAUAAAAUUAGCUUUUAAUUAAGUUUAUUUUCUUUUCUUCCCUAGAAAUUAUCAUAAUUCAAAUGGAGUACUGCGAGAAAGUAAAUAUAUAUCUCGUUUCAAAAAGUUUUGUUUUACACUCUGUUUCUGAGUUUUGAACAGAAAAGAAAAGAAUAGAAAAUUUAAAUUAGAACAGAAAAGAAAAGAAUAGAAAACUUGAAGUUUUCAUUUGUGUUGUUUCUGAGUUUUUAAUAAAAAAGGAUAGAAAAUUUAAAAUCAAGAACAUGAGUUCUAAUUUAAAAUUUAUUAUAUUAAAAGUUGAGAAUAAUAUGGGAAUUAUAAAAAUAUUACUUAUUCCAAUUUCUUUUCCGUCCAAAUCAGGCCAAUUUUGGACGGAAAAUUUUGACAGAAAAAGUGGCCAAGUUUUCUAUCCAUUUCUUUUCUUUUCUAUUUAUUAAAAAACUCAGAAACAUAAAAACUGGAAAGAAAACUUAAAUUUUCAGUCCAUUUCUUUUCUCUUCUGUCUAUUUUAAAACUCAGAAACAGAGCGUUAGUUUAUUCCUAAAUGAAAAUACUUUUGUUACUCUUAGAACUAUAAUUUCUCUGCUAGCCUAAAAUUUUCUCUUAAGCCAAACUAAGUAUGACGAGGGAAAUAAACAGAAAAGCAAGUGUUACAUAGUUGUACUACCAUCAUGCUCAAAGUGAGAAUUUUACUAAUUAAUGAAAAUAGUUAUUGUGCAAUACCUUCAACUUUGUUCCACAAAAUUUGAUAUACAUUUAAGCCUCCCGCUUUUAUCACUUUUUAGUAAUUUUACCUAAUGAGUAUCCUAUGAGAAAAUUAAAGAUCAAGUAAGAAGGUAUGAAUGUGUGAUGUUACUUUUUUUACUUCUUUUAAGUGCUGCCUUUGACGUAAAUAAUUAUUAUUUCCUCUACUAUUAUACUAUUACUCACUUUUACUUGCAUACAUGAAAAAGUUACUAACAUUAUAGUGCAUUUGGAGGUGCUAAUGACAUCAAAAAUCUGAUACAUUAUCUACAUUAUUUAAUAUAUAGUUCAUUCAUACAGAGUUACAGACAGAAAUCAUAAAGUUUUUAAUUUCAAUAAUUGAUAAAAGAAUAAAUGCACAAAAAUAUAUGCUUCCUAGCUUCCUAUUGUAAAAGGACUAAAUAUCAUACUUUUGAUGGGACAGGGUUGAUCGGAGCAGCUAGGGCAAUACCAGGGUCCUAAACCACGAUGGGUCGGACACAUAGCAUGUGAAAUCCCUUAUCACAUUUAUAACACAGAAGUGUCUCUUCAUCCAGCUAGGGCAAUACCAGGGUCCUAAUGCUCAUGUGAAAUCCCUUAUCACAUUUAUAACACAUGCAGUUCUUAUUGUAUCCAAUGCAUUUGGACUUGUACUAUCGUAAAGUGAAGCCAAUAGAUAGCGGAAAGAGAAAGCAAGAUCGAUAAAUCAAGGAGAAAUUAAGGUGCGUUAGUUAGAGAAUUGAAUGAAAAAAAUUAUUUUUAAAAAAUUAUACGUAUAUUUCUUCAAUUGUACGUGUGAAGGCCAAUUCGUAUAUAUGGCUAAGGUUGUAAAAUGAACCAAACGCUUCGGGUUUGAUUUGUAUUCGCUAGACUAAAAGUUCGAUUUGAGCUCGACUUAGAAUAUAAACGAUUCAAAUAUGAGCACAUUUUAAAGUUUGAUAAAUUACUCGAGCCUUAAUUUUCAAAUUACAAUUUUUUGUUGAUACUCAGAUCAUACUCGCUUGAAAACUUCAAACUACUCGGAUUCGAUUCGAGAUUAUGCUCGACUUGGUAGUUAAAUGAGUCUCAAUCAAACUUUAUUUCAGAUACUUGGCUCGACUCGAUUCAUUUACACCCUUAUAUAUGGCUUGCUAGAAAAAAUAUGAAUAAAAAAAUUAUGAAAUCAAGUUUAUUAUUUUAAUUUAUAUAGUUGAUUUAUUUCUUCUUAAAUAAAAUAUAAAUCAUACCAAUAACAAAACAGCUAAAUAAAUGAUGAGAAAAAGGAGCCCUAUUAGGGUUGGAUAUUAGAGUUUUUAUUUAGAAAUUUAGGAGUGCUUAAAAUUAUUUUAUUGGUUGAUUUUUAAUAAUAUUUUCAAUCGAAAUUUUUUAGUUAUUUUAUUGAUAUUUGUUGGGUCGUGAUAUUUCUCCUAUUGGACUGAAUGGAUUGGGCCUACUUAUUCAGUUAGUCCAUUGGGUCUUCACUAUUGGGUGUUGACAUUAUUGGGCCUAGUCACUUUAUUAUCUUUGUUAAGUCCUUCUAGUAUCGACCCAUCAUAUAUUUAAAUAUCUUCACUUGGGUUCUGAACCGGUGAUGAUGGCAAAGAUAUGGCUGACUGAUAUCUUACAUGGCAUUAAUAAGGAUUGGACAGUUGGCCAGCGGUGGACAGAGGGAAUGGGAUUAACAGGUGUCAAGAGGGUCAGUGGCAUGGUAAACCAGGUCCUGUAGUAUAUCAUAGCAAGGAGGUCUUCACAAAAAGGUACGUUCACAUAUACAUUCAAUUGAAUAUUAUUAUCUCUCUCAAUACACUAGACAUUACAUCCUCCAUUGUUAACCUUGUGAACACAUAUACUAAUUCUCACGCUUGAGUUAUCCCCCGACGGUCGAAGCCAUCAAGCUUGUGGUGUUUAUCGUGUUUACUGUACAGGAUCAGGGCGUCUUACGUGAUUGAGACGUGGCAGCAAAUCCUGACGUUAACAAUAUUGAAUUUUAAUACAAGUAACAUUUGGAUAUUAAUAUUGUACAUGGUAAACUAAUUUAUAGGUAAUAGAUUUUCUAAUAAUUUUGGAUUCUAGAUAAUAUGAAAAAAUAAAAAUAAAAAAGAAGAAAUUUAUUAGAUUAUUAUAUGUUUUAUUAAUUAUUUUUUAUUGUAUUGAUAGGAGAAGUUUAAAAGUAUUUAAUAGAUAAGCAGGCAAUUUGACGAACAAAUCUGUCUCAAAUAAGCUUGUUUCAUCUCAAAUAAUGAUAUUUGUGAUGGACAAAAUCUGUUGCCACUGCCGUCGCAUUAGGUCCCAUCACAAAUGAUAUCCG